RNAcentral lists this ribosomal RNA (1986 nucleotides) under Escherichia coli. RNAcentral's name for it is "partial 23S ribosomal RNA". It matches the Rfam family "Bacterial large subunit ribosomal RNA", at positions 230 to 2240 of the family's 2925-position model. Lineage: Bacteria; Pseudomonadati; Pseudomonadota; Gammaproteobacteria; Enterobacterales; Enterobacteriaceae. The record is from RNAcentral.
CGAGAUUCCCCCAGUAGCGGCGAGCGAACGGGGAGGAGCCCAGAGCCUGAAUCAGUGUGUGUGUUAGUGGAAGCGUCUGGAAAGGCGUGCGAUACAGGGUGACAGCCCCGUACACAAAAAUGCACAUAUUGUGAGCUCGAUGAGUAGGGCGGGACACGUGGUAUCCUGUCUGAAUAUGGGGGGACCAUCCUCCAAGGCUAAAUACUCCUGACUGACCGAUAGUGAACCAGUACCGUGAGGGAAAGGCGAAAAGAACCCCGGCGAGGGGAGUGAAAAAGAACCUGAAACCGUGUACGUACAAGCAGUGGGAGCCUCUUAAUGGGGUGACUGCGUACCUUUUGUAUAAUGGGUCAGCGACUUAUAUUCUGUAGCAAGGUUAACCGAAUAGGGGAGCCGAAGGGAAACCGAGUCUUAACUGGGCGUUAAGUUGCAGGGUAUAGACCCGAAACCCGGUGAUCUAGCCAUGGGCAGGUUGAAGGUUGGGUAACACUAACUGGAGGACCGAACCGACUAAUGUUGAAAAAUUAGCGGAUGACUUGUGGCUGGGGGUGAAAGGCCAAUCAAACCGGGAGAUAGCUGGUUCUCCCCGAAAGCUAUUUAGGUAGCGCCUCGUGAAUUCAUCUCCGGGGGUAGAGCACUGUUUCGGCAAGGGGGUCAUCCCGACUUACCAACCCGAUGCAAACUGCGAAUACCGGAGAAUGUUAUCACGGGAGACACACGGCGGGUGCUAACGUCCGUCGUGAAGAGGGAAACAACCCAGACCGCCAGCUAAGGUCCCAAAGUCAUGGUUAAGUGGGAAACGAUGUGGGAAGGCCCAGACAGCCAGGAUGUUGGCUUAGAAGCAGCCAUCAUUUAAAGAAAGCGUAAUAGCUCACUGGUCGAGUCGGCCUGCGCGGAAGAUGUAACGGGGCUAAACCAUGCACCGAAGCUGCGGCAGCGACACUAUGUGUUGUUGGGUAGGGGAGCGUUCUGUAAGCCUGUGAAGGUGGCCUGUGAGGGUUGCUGGAGGUAUCAGAAGUGCGAAUGCUGACAUAAGUAACGAUAAAGCGGGUGAAAAGCCCGCUCGCCGGAAGACCAAGGGUUCCUGUCCAACGUUAAUCGGGGCAGGGUGAGUCGACCCCUAAGGCGAGGCCGAAAGGCGUAGUCGAUGGGAAACAGGUUAAUAUUCCUGUACUUGGUGUUACUGCGAAGGGGGGACGGAGAAGGCUAUGUUGGCCGGGCGACGGUUGUCCCGGUUUAAGCGUGUAGGCUGGUUUUCCAGGCAAAUCCGGAAAACCAAGGCUGAGGCGUGAUGACGAGGCACUACGGUGCUGAAGCGACAAAUGCCCUGCUUCCAGGAAAAGCCUCUAAGCAUCAGGUAACAUCAAAUCGUACCCCAAACCGACACAGGUGGUCAGGUAGAGAAUACCAAGGCGCUUGAGAGAACUCGGGUGAAGGAACUAGGCAAAAUGGUGCCGUAACUUCGGGAGAAGGCACGCUGAUAUGUAGGUGAAGCGACUUGCUCGUGGAGCUGAAAUCAGUCGAAGAUACCAGCUGGCUGCAACUGUUUAUUAAAAACACAGCACUGUGCAAACACGAAAGUGGACGUAUACGGUGUGACGCCUGCCCGGUGCCGGAAGGUUAAUUGAUGGGGUUAGCGGCAACGCGAAGCUCUUGAUCGAAGCCCCGGUAAACGGCGGCCGUAACUAUAACGGUCCUAAGGUAGCGAAAUUCCUUGUCGGGUAAGUUCCGACCUGCACGAAUGGCGUAAUGAUGGCCAGGCUGUCUCCACCCGAGACUCAGUGAAAUUGAACUCGCUGUGAAGAUGCAGUGUACCCGCGGCAAGACGGAAAGACCCCGUGAACCUUUACUAUAGCUUGACACUGAACAUUGAGCCUUGAUGUGUAGGAUAGGUGGGAGGCUUUGAAGUGUGGACGCCAGUCUGCAUGGAGCCGACCUUGAAAUACCACCCUUUAAUGUUUGAUGUUCUAACGUUGGCCCGUAAUC